RNAcentral lists this ribosomal RNA (133 nucleotides) under Escherichia coli. Its description in RNAcentral is "partial 16S ribosomal RNA". It matches the Rfam family "Bacterial small subunit ribosomal RNA", at positions 1 to 126 of the family's 1533-position model. The record is from RNAcentral. RNAcentral also lists the same sequence under 16 other names. Lineage: Bacteria; Pseudomonadati; Pseudomonadota; Gammaproteobacteria; Enterobacterales; Enterobacteriaceae.
AAAUUGAAGAGUUUGAUCAUGGCUCAGAUUGAACGCUGGCGGCAGGCCUAACACAUGCAAGUCGAACGGUAACAGGAAGCAGCUUGCUGCUUUGCUGACGAGUGGCGGACGGGUGAGUAAUGUCUGGGAAACU